Molecule: small nuclear RNA, 441 nt
Filed under: Triticum aestivum (bread wheat)
Lineage: Eukaryota; Viridiplantae; Streptophyta; Magnoliopsida; Poales; Poaceae
Source: RNAcentral
CUCGUCCCUUCGGGGACAUCCGAUAAAAUUGGAACGAUACAGAGAAGAUUAGCAUGGCCCCUGCGCAAGGAUGACACGCACAAAUGGAGAAAUGGUCCAAAUUUUUUUGAGAUUUCGCGCGCAGCUCCUUUUUCUUCUCAGACGUGCCCCUGGAGACUUACUUGCGCACCUUUGUUUCUUUGCGCACGCUUGCAACUAGGUCCCUCCUGGUUGCUUUUUACCACGAAAGUAUCAAGUCCUCUUGCAGCUUCACUUCAGAACUGGCCCUCCAACUUUUCUCUAAAUACAAUACAGUCUGCCUCUUGGCAAUUCACCUGGUCAUUUUCUUGUAACUCCUUUGAAUCAUUAUGUUCCCGUAAAUUAGAACCAAAACUAAAGACUGGAUGUGACAAUAUUCUCUGGUGUAGUUUGUAUGUACGUCCUGGAAAGUGUAAACCGUAG